Molecule: ribosomal RNA, 467 nt
Filed under: uncultured bacterium
Lineage: Bacteria
Description: partial 16S ribosomal RNA
Rfam family: Bacterial small subunit ribosomal RNA
Source: RNAcentral
ACGAACGCUGGCGGCGUGCUUCACCCAUGCCAGUCGAACGGAAAGGCCCUGCUUUUGUGGGGUGCUCGAGUGGCGAACGGGUGAGUAACACGUGAGUAACCUGCCCUUGACUUUGGGAUAACUUCAGGAAACUGGGGCUAAUACCGGAUAGGAGCUCCUGCUGCAUGGUGGGGGUUGGAAAGUUUCGGCGGUUGGGGAUGGACUCGCGGCUUAUCAGCUUGUUGGUGGGGUAGUGGCUUACCAAGGCUUUGACGGGUAGCCGGCCUGAGAGGGUGACCGGCGACAUUGGGACUGAGAUACGGCCCAGACUCCUACGGGAGGCAGCAGUGGGGAAUAUUGCACAAUGGGCGGAAGCCUGAUGCAGCAACGCCGCGUGCGGGAUGACGGCCUUCGGGUUGUAAACCGCUUUCGCCUGUGACGAAGCGUGAGUGACGGUAAUGGGUAAAGAAGCACCGGCUAACUACGUG